This 253-nucleotide ribosomal RNA is filed under the name uncultured bacterium. RNAcentral describes it as "partial 16S ribosomal RNA". It matches the Rfam family "Bacterial small subunit ribosomal RNA", at positions 524 to 776 of the family's 1533-position model. The record is from RNAcentral.
UACGUAGGGUGCAAGCGUUAAUCGGAAUUACUGGGCGUAAAGCGUGCGCAGGCGGUUAUGUUAGACAGGUGUGAAAUCCCCGGGCUUAACCUGGGAACUGCAUUUGUGACUGCAUAGCUAGAGUACGGUAGAGGGGGAUGGAAUUCCGCGUGUAGCAGUGAAAUGCGUAGAUAUGCGGAGGAACACCGAUGGCGAAGGCAAUCCCCUGGACCUGUACUGACGCUCAUGCACGAAAGCGUGGGGAGCAAACAGG